UUUGGACUUUGUUUUUAUUUGGGAGCUACUCAAAUGAAGAUGCAAAAAACAUCUUUUUAUGAAGAUGCUUUGUAUAAAAGUGUGAUUUAUUAAUUUGGCCACACUUCAAAUAAAAACAACACUUUUAUAA
Non-coding RNA from Arachis ipaensis, 130 nucleotides. Lineage: Eukaryota; Viridiplantae; Streptophyta; Magnoliopsida; Fabales; Fabaceae. The record is from RefSeq and is a predicted model, not a curated record.